This is a long non-coding RNA of Hordeum vulgare subsp. vulgare (domesticated barley), 127 nucleotides long. RefSeq lists it as uncharacterized. The record is from RefSeq and is a predicted model, not a curated record. Lineage: Eukaryota; Viridiplantae; Streptophyta; Magnoliopsida; Poales; Poaceae. The transcript is spliced from 2 exons.
AACAGGUUAAGAAGAAGACAAAAACCGUUGUGGAGAAGUAUUGGGACUGGGAACUUACAAAUGAAACACAACCUAUUUGGCUUCGGACUCCUAAGGAGGUAUCAACUGAGGAGUACAAUGAAUUUUA